This is a long non-coding RNA of Populus euphratica (Euphrates poplar), 227 nucleotides long. RefSeq lists it as uncharacterized. The record is from RefSeq and is a predicted model, not a curated record. The transcript has 2 exons. Lineage: Eukaryota; Viridiplantae; Streptophyta; Magnoliopsida; Malpighiales; Salicaceae.
ACGGUGAGAGAGAGAGAGAGAGAGAGAUAGAGAGGAGAAGAUAAGAAGCAAAAACAGAAAAGGCUGCUCCACUCUCACGAAUUGGAGAAGAAAGAAAGCUCUCCCCCCCACCCUGUCUCUCUCUCUCUCUCUGUCUCUCUCAUAUGUAUGUAAUGUAUAUUGUUCAAGAUCUCUAGACAGUUUUGUAAUAUUAUGGUUUUAUAAACCUCCUCUGUAGUUUAUUAUAA